Molecule: ribosomal RNA, 253 nt
Filed under: uncultured bacterium
Lineage: Bacteria
Description: partial 16S ribosomal RNA
Rfam family: Bacterial small subunit ribosomal RNA
Source: RNAcentral
UACAGAGGGGGCAAGCGUUAUUCGGAAUUAUUGGGCGUAAAGGGCGCGUAGGCGGCUUGACAAGUGGAAGGUGAAAUCCCUCGGCUUAACCGAGGAACUGCCUUCCAGACUGUCUGGCUUGAGACCGGGAGAGGUGAGUGGAAUUCCCAGUGUAGCGGUGAAAUGCGUAGAUAUUGGGAGGAACACCAGUGGCGAAGGCGGCUCACUGGACCGGUACUGACGCUGAGGCGCGAAAGCGUGGGGAGCGAACAGG